Molecule: ribosomal RNA, 252 nt
Filed under: uncultured bacterium
Lineage: Bacteria
Description: partial 16S ribosomal RNA
Rfam family: Bacterial small subunit ribosomal RNA
Source: RNAcentral
GGACGGGUGCGGAACAUGUGUGCAAUCUGCCCUUAUCAAGGGGAUAGCCCGGAGAAAUCCGGAUUAAUACCCUAUAACAUAUGGGAUGGCAUCAUUUCAUAUUAAAAGCUACGGCGGAUAAGGAUGAGCACGCACAAGAUUAGCUAGUUGGUAAGGUAACGGCUUACCAAGGCGACGAUCUUUAGGGGGCCUGAGAGGGUGAUCCCCCACACUGGGACUGAGACACGGCCCAGACUCCUACGGGAGGCAGCA